Molecule: transfer RNA, 73 nt
Filed under: Caulobacter phage CcrSC
Lineage: Duplodnaviria; Heunggongvirae; Uroviricota; Caudoviricetes; Jeanschmidtviridae
Description: tRNA-Phe
Rfam family: tRNA
About the family: Transfer RNA (tRNA) molecules are approximately 80 nucleotides in length. Their secondary structure includes four short double-helical elements and three loops (D, anti-codon, and T loops).
Source: RNAcentral
GCAUGGAUAGCUCAGAUGGUAGAGCGCCGGCGUGAAGCCCCGGAGGCCAGUGGUUCGAUCCCACUUCCAUGCA